UACGUAGGUGGCAAGCGUUGUCCGGAUUUAUUGGGUUUAAAGGGUGCGUAGGCGGCUUUGUAAGUCAGUGGUGAAAUAUGGCAGCUCAACUGUCAAGGUGCCAUUGAUACUGCGAGGCUUGAGUACAGAUGAGGUAGGCGGAAUUGACGGUGUAGCGGUGAAAUGCUUAGAUAUCGUCAAGAACACCAAUAGUGAAGACAGUUUACUAGACUUCAACUGACGCUGAGGCACGAAAGUGUGGGGAUCAAACAGG
This 253-nucleotide ribosomal RNA is filed under the name uncultured bacterium. Its description in RNAcentral is "partial 16S ribosomal RNA". It matches the Rfam family "Bacterial small subunit ribosomal RNA", at positions 524 to 776 of the family's 1533-position model. The record is from RNAcentral.